UACGUAGGGUCCGAGCGUUGUCCGGAAUUACUGGGCGUAAAGAGCUCGUAGGUGGUUUGUCGCGUUGUUCGUGAAAACUCACAGCUUAACUGUGGGCGUGCGGGCGAUACGGGCAGACUAGAGUACUGCAGGGGAGACUGGAAUUCCUGGUGUAGCGGUGGAAUGCGCAGAUAUCAGGAGGAACACCGGUGGCGAAGGCGGGUCUCUGGGCAGUAACUGACGCUGAGGAGCGAAAGCUAGGGGAGCAAACGGG
Molecule: ribosomal RNA, 253 nt
Filed under: uncultured bacterium
Lineage: Bacteria
Description: partial 16S ribosomal RNA
Rfam family: Bacterial small subunit ribosomal RNA
Source: RNAcentral